UGCAAGUCGAACGGUGAAGCUCAAGCUUGCUUGGGUGGAUCAGUGGCGAACGGGUGAGUAACACGUGAGCAACCUGCCCCGGACUCUGGAAUAAGCGCUGGAAACGGCGUCUAAUACUGGAUAUGACACCAAUCCGCAUGGGUAUGGUGUGGAAAGUUUUUCGGUCUGGGAUGGGCUCGCGGCCUAUCAGCUUGUUGGUGAGGUAAUGGCUCACCAAGGCGACGACGGGUAGCCGGCCUGAGAGGGCGACCGGCCACACUGGGACUGAGACACGGCCCAGACUCCUACGGGAGGCAGCAGUGGGGAAUAUUGCACAAUGGGCGAAAGCCUGAUGCAGCGACGCCGCGUGAGGGAUGACGGCCUUCGGGUUGUAAACCUCUUUCAGCAGGGAAGAAGCGAAAGUGACGGUACCUGCAGAAGAAGCACCGGCUAACUACGUGCCAGCAGCCGCGGUAAUACGUAGGGUGCGAGCGUUGUCCGGAAUUAUUGGGCGUAAAGAGCUUGUAGGCGGUUUGUCGCGUCUGCUGUGAAAAUCCGGGGCUCAACCCCGGACUUGCAGUGGGUACGGGCAGACUAGAGUGUGGUAGGGGAGACUGGAAUUCCUGGUGUAGCGGUGAAAUGCGCAGAUAUCAGGAGGAACACCGAUGGCGAAGGCAGGUCUCUGGGCCACUACUGACGCUGAGAAGCGAAAGCAUGGGGAGCGAACAGGAUUAGAUACCCUGGUAGUCCAUGCCGUAAACGUUGGGCGCUAGGUGUGGGACUCAUUCCACGAGUUCCGUGCCGCAGCUAACGCAUUAAGCGCCCCGCCUGGGGAGUACGGCCGCAAGGCUAAAACUCAAAGGAAUUGACGGGGGCCCGCACAAGCGGCGGAGCAUGCGGAUUAAUUCGAUGCAACGCGAAGAACCUUACCAAGGCUUGACAUAUACCGGAAACAUCCAGAGAUGGGUGCCCCUUUUAUCGGUAUACAGGUGGUGCAUGGUCGUCAGCUCGUGUCGUGAAUGUUGGGUUAAGUCCCGCAACA
This 1021-nucleotide ribosomal RNA is filed under the name Janibacter sp. NRTY. RNAcentral describes it as "bacterial SSU rRNA". It matches the Rfam family "Bacterial small subunit ribosomal RNA", at positions 56 to 1094 of the family's 1533-position model. Lineage: Bacteria; Bacillati; Actinomycetota; Actinomycetes; Micrococcales; Intrasporangiaceae. The record is from RNAcentral.